UGUGGGAGGCAUGGAGUCACGAGGAGAAAGGAGUGGUUAGUUAGAACGCGAAUAUAUUAAGAGGAGAGACAAGGAACAGACAGGCGUAAGAGACGGGGAUAUGACAGGGGAAGGGAAGGGAAGGGAAGGAAAGGAACAAGAAGAUAGGACAAGAAAUACGAGGUUAAGAGAUACAGAGAAAGGAAGGUAAGUGGCUGGGGCGGAAACAAGGGUAGGGAAGAGAAGGGAACGGGACAGAAGAUAGGACAAGAAAUAUGAGGUUGAGAGAUACAGAGAAAGGAAGGUAACUGGCUGGGGCGGAAACAAAGGUAGGGAAGAGAAGGGAACGGGACAGAGGACAGGAUAGGAAAUGUGGGGUUGAGAGAGCAGAGAAAGGAAGGUAACUGGCUGGGGCGGAAACAAAGGUAGGGAAGAGAAGGGAACGGGACAGAGGACAGGAUAGGAAAACGAGAGAGAUAUUGAAAGAUGUGAUCAGAGUAGGGAAGGGGAUGCUGGGAUGCUGGGAUGCUGAUUGACUGGCCUCGGAGGGAAGGUGACUGACUAGAAUGGAGGAAAGGAAGACGGGAAGGACAAGAAGGAGGAACAAGGAAGAGGGGAACAGAAACGACAGUCUAAGGCAUGACAAGGGCAGGAAAGGGGAUGCUGGGCCGCUGAGAUGCUGGCUAGCGGGCCGGGGAGGUGCAGAAAGCCAGCUUGGGCUCUAGUAUUGAUCAAGGCCUUAGUCACUCCAGCCAGAUGGUGACACGCACUUCAAAAAAUAAAGAAAGAAAGAAAGAAAUA
Eriocheir sinensis (Chinese mitten crab) is the source of this 780-nucleotide long non-coding RNA. RefSeq lists it as uncharacterized. NCBI's taxonomy places the organism in Eukaryota, Metazoa, Arthropoda, Malacostraca, Decapoda, Varunidae. The record is from RefSeq and is a predicted model, not a curated record. The transcript is spliced from 2 exons.